CCUAACUAAUCACCUAAACUAUAGGAUUCCGUCAUCUAACUAAUCAAACUAAUUAUCUAAAUAAUCACCUAAACUAAUUACCUAACUAAUUAAUAACCUAAACUAACUUAAAAAAAAAAAGGAGGAAAGAGAAUGUACCUUAGAGGGAGAAGAGAGGAGUUUGGGAGGAAUGGACGAGACAGACUCGUCUCGGCGUCCCAAUAUAUAGAAAAUGUUUCGUCGUAAACGCGACGUAAU
This 237-nucleotide long non-coding RNA is filed under the name Brassica napus (rape). RNAcentral's name for it is "long non-coding RNA (BNAP_LNC012276)". The record is from RNAcentral. Lineage: Eukaryota; Viridiplantae; Streptophyta; Magnoliopsida; Brassicales; Brassicaceae.